AUUGAACGCUGGCGGCAUGCCUUACACAUGCAAGUCGAACGGCAGCGGGCCUUCGGGUGCCGGCGAGUGGCGAACGGGUGAGUAAUGCAUCGGAACGUGCCAUUGAGUGGGGGAUAACGUAGCGAAAGUUACGCUAAUACCGCAUAUUCUGUGAGCAGGAAAGCAGGGGACCGCAAGGCCUUGCGCUCUUUGAGCGGCCGAUGUCAGAUUAGCUAGUUGGUGAGGUAAAGGGCUUACCAAGGCGACGAUCUGUAGCGGGUCUGAGAGGAUGAUCCGCCACACUGGAACUGAGACACGGUCCAGACUCCUACGGGAGGCAGCAGUGGGGAAUAUUGCACAAUGGGCGCAAGCCUGAUGCAGCGACGCCGCGUGGGGGAUGACGGCC
This 385-nucleotide ribosomal RNA is filed under the name uncultured bacterium. Its description in RNAcentral is "bacterial SSU rRNA". It matches the Rfam family "Bacterial small subunit ribosomal RNA", at positions 29 to 416 of the family's 1533-position model. The record is from RNAcentral.